Molecule: small RNA, 92 nt
Filed under: Agrobacterium tumefaciens F2
Lineage: Bacteria; Pseudomonadati; Pseudomonadota; Alphaproteobacteria; Hyphomicrobiales; Rhizobiaceae
Description: Rhizobiales sRNA Atu_Ti1
Rfam family: Rhizobiales sRNA Atu_Ti1
Source: Rfam by way of RNAcentral
GUCCACGUUGCGGCGGACCAGAGCCAGAAGCCUCCGAGGCCAAUGGCGGCAGCCGGCCGAUAUCUCGUCGUGAUAGUGAUCAGGCCGGCUGC